Non-coding RNA from Crucibulum laeve, 84 nucleotides. The record is from the annotation of a GenBank genome assembly. Lineage: Eukaryota; Fungi; Basidiomycota; Agaricomycetes; Agaricales; Nidulariaceae.
GUCUCGGUAGCUCAGUGGUAGAGCAUGCGAUUGCAGUAAGAGUUCAUUAUCGCAGGGCCCGGUGUUCGAACCACCGUCGGGACU